Molecule: ribosomal RNA, 465 nt
Filed under: Vreelandella stevensii
Lineage: Bacteria; Pseudomonadati; Pseudomonadota; Gammaproteobacteria; Oceanospirillales; Halomonadaceae
Description: partial 16S ribosomal RNA
Rfam family: Bacterial small subunit ribosomal RNA
Source: RNAcentral
CCUACGGGGGGCAGCAGUGGGGAAUAUUGGACAAUGGGCGAAAGCCUGAUCCAGCCAUGCCGCGUGUGUGAAGAAGGCCUUCGGGUUGUAAAGCACUUUCAGUGGGGAAGAAAGCCUUGGGGCUAAUACCCUCGAGGAAGGACAUCACCCACAGAAGAAGCACCGGCUAACUCCGUGCCAGCAGCCGCGGUAAUACGGAGGGUGCGAGCGUUAAUCGGAAUUACUGGGCGUAAAGCGCGCGUAGGCGGUCUGAUAAGCCGGUUGUGAAAGCCCCGGGCUCAACCUGGGAACGGCAUCCGGAACUGUCGGGCUAGAGUGCAGGAGAGGAAGGUAGAAGGCCCGGUGGAGCGGUGAAAGGCGUAGAGAUCGGGAGGAAGACCAGUGGCGAAGGCGGCCUUCUGGACUUACACUGACGCUGAGGUGCGAAAGCGUGGGUAGCAAACAGGAUUAGAUACCCGAGUAGUC